Molecule: non-coding RNA, 35 nt
Organism: Myotis brandtii (Brandt's bat)
Lineage: Eukaryota; Metazoa; Chordata; Mammalia; Chiroptera; Vespertilionidae
Source: Rfam
CUAUCUCUUGCUUCGACAGUGUUUGGACGGAACAG